CAGUGGGGAAUAUUGCACAAUGGGGGAAACCCUGAUGCAGCCAUGCCGCGUGUGUGAAGAAGGCCUUCGGGUUGUAAAGCACUUUCAGUAGGGAGGAAGGUAGUGUAGUUAACACCUGCAUUAUUUGACGUUACCUACAGAAGAAGCACCGGCUAACUCCGUGCCAGCAGCCGCGGUAAUACGGAGGGUGCGAGCGUUAAUCGGAAUUACUGGGCGUAAAGCGCAUGCAGGCGGCCUGUUAAGUCAGAUGUGAAAGCCCGGGGCUUAACCUCGGAAUUGCAUUUGAAACUGGCAGGCUAGAGUCUUGUAGAGGGGGGUAGGAAUUUCAGGUGUAGCGGUGAAAUGCGUAGAGAUCUGAAGGAAUACCAGUGGCGAAGGCGGCCCCCUGGACAAAGACUGACGCUCAGAUGCGAAAGCGUGGGGAGCAAACAGGAUUAGAUACCCUGGUAG
This 450-nucleotide ribosomal RNA is filed under the name uncultured bacterium. RNAcentral's name for it is "bacterial SSU rRNA". It matches the Rfam family "Bacterial small subunit ribosomal RNA", at positions 352 to 793 of the family's 1533-position model. The record is from RNAcentral.